Molecule: ribosomal RNA, 253 nt
Filed under: uncultured bacterium
Lineage: Bacteria
Description: partial 16S ribosomal RNA
Rfam family: Bacterial small subunit ribosomal RNA
Source: RNAcentral
UACGUAGGGUGCGAGCGUUAAUCGGAAUUACUGGGCGUAAAGCGUGCGCAGGCGGUUGUGCAAGCCAGAGGUGAAAUCCCCGGGCUUAACCUGGGAACUGCCUUUGUGACUGCACGGCUAGAGUGUGUUAGAGGGGGGUAGAAUUCCACGUGUAGCAGUGAAAUGCGUAGAUAUGUGGAGGAAUACCGAUGGCGAAGGCAGCCCCCUGGGAUAACACUGACGCUCAAGCACGAAAGCGUGGGGAGCAAACAGG